RNAcentral lists this ribosomal RNA (309 nucleotides) under uncultured bacterium. Its description in RNAcentral is "partial 16S ribosomal RNA". It matches the Rfam family "Bacterial small subunit ribosomal RNA", at positions 504 to 807 of the family's 1533-position model. The record is from RNAcentral.
AGAGACAGCAGUAGCCACGGGAAUACAGAGGGUGCGAGCGUUAAUCGGAUUUACUGGGCGUAAAGCGUGCGUAGGCGGCUUCUUAAGUCGGAUGUGAAAUCCCUGAGCUUAACUUAGGAAUUGCAUUCGAUACUGGGAAGCUAGAGUAUGGGAGAGGAUGGUAGAAUUCCAGGUGUAGCGGUGAAAUGCGUAGAGAUCUGGAGGAAUACCGAUGGCGAAGGCAGCCAUCUGGCCUAAUACUGACGCUGAGGUACGAAAGCAUGGGGAGCAAACAGGAUUAGAUACCCCGGUAGUCCCUGUCUCUUAUAC